GGGUCAGUAGGUUGGUCGUGCCACCGGUACGUACUGGUCUCACUGAUUCCUCCUUCCUGAAGAACCGUAAUGCCAUUAAUUUGGUGUUGCGGGGAAACAGGACUGUUACUUUGAAAAAAUUAGAGUGCUUAAAGCAAGCUACCGCUUGAAUACAUUAGCAUGGAAUAAUGAAAUAGGACGAUCGAUCCUAUUUUGUUGGUUUCUAGGAUUGACGUA
Molecule: ribosomal RNA, 216 nt
Filed under: Glomeromycotina sp.
Lineage: Eukaryota; Fungi; Glomeromycota
Description: partial small subunit ribosomal RNA
Rfam family: Eukaryotic small subunit ribosomal RNA (bases 44-216)
Source: RNAcentral